Long non-coding RNA from Magallana angulata, 1999 nucleotides. RefSeq lists it as uncharacterized. NCBI's taxonomy places the organism in Eukaryota, Metazoa, Mollusca, Bivalvia, Ostreida, Ostreidae. The record is from RefSeq and is a predicted model, not a curated record. The transcript has 3 exons.
CAAGAGGAUUAAGGAAUUGAAUGACAAAUCUUCAUCAUCUUUAUCUAAGAGAAAAGAUACUUUGAAAAACUCUCUGAAUUUCUUUCUUAAACUAUUGAGGAAAGAUUGCACAAUAUCUAAUUGUACCCCUGAUGAUCUAAAGCAUUUUCUGGUAUGGAAGGAUGGUUUUGGUAAAACACCAGUUCAUAAAAUAAAUUGUACAUUUUUGGGUACUAAAGAAUAAGGAAGUUGUGAAUGCCCAAGACGAUUAGCAGCUGGGACAGUAUCGGUCUUUUACGAAAGUGGUCGUGGUAAAUUCUGGGAUGAGAAGAGUGAUACAGGUUACCCUGCAGUGGCACAUUGCAUCAAACAGUAUGUGAAACUUAUUCAAGAGGAACAAGCGGCAGCACAUGUAGUUCCUAAGCAGGCAAAGUGAAUCUGGCUUUAUCUGGUUCGGUUACCAAUGUAGGACAAAUGAUGAACCAUGUGGGAUGGUAUGGAGAGGGAACAGCAGAAUAUUAUAGUAGAUUGCCAGCUUUAGUGGAAUCUGAUUAUAUCGCAGGUAGAUUAGCAGACAGUGCAGGUCAAUGUGAUUUUGUGGAAGAUAUGUUCCAACAAUAUGAGGAUUUUAAUAUUUUGCAAAAAGCUUUUCAUUAACGAUAAGGCCUUAAGAAUAUCAAUACAAUUUAGGGAAUAAGAAAGAUCCUUUGUUUUCGAAUUUAUCAUCUACAUCAUAUUAGGAUUUUGUAGAACUGUUUGUUUUGUAAAUAGCAGUGACGGUUAAUUUGUUGUUGAAUAAAAUUUUGUAGAUUUACUGUAUAACUUAUAACAGUGAUAAGUUGAAAGAAUGUCAAAUCUAAAAUUUGAAAAUAAUACAUAUAAUGUAUUUUAAGCAAUAGUUUUAUCCCAUUUAAAUAACUUGUGUUUUUGAUCUUUAAGUUCAGGAGUAUGUUGAACAGACUGUUUGUUACUCAACAUAUAUUGUUUAGAUUAAUUUUAUGAUUAUGAGUAUUGUGAGGAGUGAAGGCACUUAUGUUACAAUGGUGAUUGUCUAGGGAAGUGUAAUACGUCACCGCGAAAGUGAUGACGUCAUCUUUCUCAGAGCUGUACUAAUGAUACUGAAUAUUGAGGAUGAGCACAGUAGAUGGCAUUGCUGGUUCAGCUUAUCCAUGAUUUUACCCCACCCACCCCACCCUUGUAUAUGUUCUUGUUCUCAGUUCAUGAUAAAUGACUACAUUUCCUAAUACUUGAGAAGAACUAGAGCAGGAACGUAUACACUUGGGAUAGGUAUAUCGUCUUUGGAGGUACGCAGUGAUUCCUCCGUAUGUAUAUAGGCGGGGAAUAUGGUUGUUUGAUAACCACCACCAUCGAUCUAUACACGUGGGGACGGUCUUAUAAAAAGGAUUUGACCUAUGCUGAGAUUGCGUAAGUUGUAGAAUGAUGCAUUAGUAUGCUUGCAGUGCAUUGUACUUGAGUAACAGCUGUGACUUGAGCUUUGAUUAUAAUGUGGCGCUUAGUCUUUGGCAAAUCUCUGAACACAAGUCAUCUUUAUCUUGGAUGUAUAUAUUUUUUUAAAGUUGUUCUAAAUUAUUUCCAAUAUUAUUUUCAGCCCCAACCAGAUCAUGGGGUUUACACAGUAUUUGUUGAGCUUGGGGAAACAAAAAUAGAGCUCUUUUAAAAUCCUCUUGGAGACAGAAGUCCUAUUCAAAACUUUUUGGAUAAAAAUAAAAGUGGAGGCAUGCAUCAUAUCUGCAUUGAGGUAGACAACAUUAAUGAAGCAAUGAAAGACAUCAAAUCUAAAAGAAUAAGACUUCUGAACGAAGAAUCAAAGAUUUGGGCUAAUGGCAAACCUGUGGUAUUCCUCCACCCCAAGGAUUGUAAUGGUGUGUUAGUAGAACUGGAGCAGGUGUGAAGCUUUUUGACACAUAUUUCCCCCUGAAAUGCUCAGAUAAUAAAACACCUCUACCUAUUUCUUUUAAAGAAACUUAAACUUGUUCAAACUGAGAAUUACACCAGGUAA